GGGGAUUUAGUUUAAUUUAAAAUUUUUGUUUUGCAUACAGAGGAUUGAAUCUCUA
This 55-nucleotide transfer RNA is filed under the name Strongyloides ratti. RNAcentral's name for it is "tRNA SRAE_M000000010". Lineage: Eukaryota; Metazoa; Nematoda; Chromadorea; Rhabditida; Strongyloididae. The record is from RNAcentral.